GUCUUUUUGAAAUAAUUUAAAGUCUAAUCUGCCCACUGAUAAUUAUUAUUAAAGGGCUGCAGUAUUUUGACUGUACAAAGGUAGCAUAAUCAUUAGUCUCUUAAUUGGUGACUUGUAUGAAUGAUUGGAUGAAAUAUAAGCUGUUUCUUAUUUAUUUAUAAAAUUUAAUUUUUUCAUUAAAAAGUGAAAAUAAAUUUAAAAGACGAGAAGACCCCAUAGAGUUUUAUAUAUAAAAUAAUUUAAUAAUUAUAUUUAAGAAAAUUAAUUAAGAUUAUUUAUUAUAUUUUAUUGGGGUGAUAAAAAAAUUAAAAAAACUUUUUUAUAAUUUUUCCAUAAAUAAGUGAGUAGAUGAUCCAUUAUUAUUGAUUAAAAGAAAAAAUUACCUUGGGGAUAACAGCGUAAUUUUUUCUUUUAGUUCAAAUAGGAGAAAGAGUUUGCGACCUCGAUGUUGGAUUAAGAUAAAAUUUAAAUGCAAAAGUUUAAAAUUUUGAUCUGUUCGAUCAUUAAAAUCUUACAUGAUCUGAGUUCAAACCGGUGUAAGCCAGGUUGGUUUCUAUCUUUAAAUAAAUUAAAUAUUUUAGUACGAAAGGAUUGAAUAUUUAAAAUAAUUUUUAAUUUUAGAAUUUUAUUAAUUUAUAAUUAUAAAAUUAAAAUUUUUAUUUUUAUUAGUAUAU
Molecule: ribosomal RNA, 674 nt
Filed under: Zygaena fusca
Lineage: Eukaryota; Metazoa; Arthropoda; Insecta; Lepidoptera; Zygaenidae
Description: Zygaena haematina fusca partial 16S ribosomal RNA
Rfam family: Bacterial large subunit ribosomal RNA (bases 390-548)
Source: RNAcentral